Molecule: unclassified non-coding RNA, 497 nt
Filed under: uncultured Paraglomus
Lineage: Eukaryota; Fungi; Glomeromycota; Glomeromycetes; Paraglomerales; Paraglomeraceae
Description: SSU rRNA
Rfam family: Eukaryotic small subunit ribosomal RNA
Source: RNAcentral
CCAAUAGCGUAUAUUAAAGUUGUUGCAGUUAAAAAGCUCGUAGUUGAAUUUCAGGCCUGGCUGGACGGUCCGCCCUUCGGGUGAGUACUGUCUGUGGUCGGGUCCUACCUUCUGGCGAAGCGUCAUGGCCUUAACCGGCCGUGGCGGGGAACCAGGACUUUUACUGUGAAAAAAUUAGAGUGUUCAAAGCAGGCAAUCGCUUGGAUACAUUAGCAUGGAAUAAUGGAAUAGGACAAUGGUUCUAUUUGUUGGUUUCUAGGACCGUUGUAAUGAUUAAUAGGGAUAGUUGGGGGCAUUAGUAUUCAAUUGUCAGAGGUGAAAUUCUUGGAUUUAUUGAAGACUAACUACUGCGAAAGCAUUUGCCAAGGAUGUUUUCAUUAAUCAAGAACGAAAGUUAGGGGAUCGAAGACGAUCAGAUACCGUCGUAGUCUUAACCAUAAACUAUGCCGACUAGGAAUCGGGCGAUGUUGAAAAAAUGACGCGUUCGGCACCUCAUG